This 127-nucleotide small RNA is filed under the name Marmota monax (woodchuck). Lineage: Eukaryota; Metazoa; Chordata; Mammalia; Rodentia; Sciuridae. The record is from RNAcentral.
GCCAGGUGAGGUUAUGCAUGCCUGUCAUCCCAGUGGCUUGGGAGGCUGAGGCAGGAGAAUCGCGAGUUCAAAGCCAGCCUCAGCAACUUACUGAAGCCCUAAGCAACUCAGUGAGACCCUGUCUCUA